Cylas formicarius (sweet potato weevil) is the source of this 391-nucleotide long non-coding RNA. RefSeq lists it as uncharacterized. Lineage: Eukaryota; Metazoa; Arthropoda; Insecta; Coleoptera; Brentidae. The record is from RefSeq and is a predicted model, not a curated record. The transcript is spliced from 3 exons.
UCCAUUAAAAUUGAAGUUGACGCAAUCUGAAAAUGAUGAUGGAAUUCGCUAGCGACAACUCGAUUUUGAACGCUCCAGAAGAUACUUAAUUUGAUACAGAUGCAAAUAUAGCGAUAUUAAACAACGCCUAAAAUCCGUUCAAGAAAAGAACGCUUAAUGUAAAAAAGUUCAGGCAGUUGAGUUUCCGGAAAAACUGCUUAUGGCGUUAAAAGUAUUAGAUAUGUUAAAGAGGUAAUUGCGGCGGAUAUCAAAAAAAUUGUAUAUUCCAUUGGAAAUUCUAGAAGGUCGACAAAUUUCGGGCGGGAAAUGGAUGUUGACGGAAUCCGAACUACUUAAAUAAGGACGAACGGUCUACCCUACGUUUGAACUACGACUGUAACAAAAUACUCUC